UCAAGUUAUGAAGGGCGCAGGGUGGAUGCCAUGGCACUGGACGCCGAAGAAAGACGUGGUAAGCUGCGAAAAGCCACGGGGAGCCGCAAGCAGGCUUUGAUCCGUGGAUGUCUGAAUGGGGAAACCCGGCGGAAGUAAUGUUCCGUCAUCCGUGAAUGAAUCCAUAGUUCACGAGAAGGGCACCCGGGGAACUGAAACAUCUAAGUACCCGGAGGAAAAGAAAGAAACAUCGAUUUCGUCAGUAGCGGCGAGCGAAAGCGAAAGAGCCCAAACCAUCCGACUACGGUUGGGUGGGGUUGUGGGUCAGCAACAUGUACGACGAUGCUUAGGAGAAGAGUUCUGGAAAGGACUUCCAAAGAGGGUAAGAGGCCCGUAUCCGAAAAGUUGAAUCGGCUAGCUGAUACCAGAGUACCACAGGACACGAGGAAUCCGGUGGGAAGCAGGAGGGACCACCCUCCAAGGCUAAAUACGAUCCAGUGACCGAUAGCGCAUAGUACCGUGAGGGAAAGGUGAAAAGAACCCCGGGAGGGGAGUGAAAAAGAACCUGAAACCCUGUGCUUACAAGCAGAGAGAGCACGAUUAAGUGUGAUCUCGUACUUUUUGUAGAACGGACCGGCGAGUUACGUUAUGCAGCGAGGUUAAGGACUGAAGGUCCGGAGCCGAAGCGAAAGCGAGUCUGAAUAGGGCGCAUAGUUGCAUGACGUAGACCCGAAACCGGGUGACCUAUCCAUGGGCAGGUUGAAGUGGAAGUAAAAUUUCAUGGAGGACCGAACCAGACGUCUGUUGAAAAAGGCGGGGAUGACCUGUGGAUAGCGGAGAAAUUCCAAUCGAACCCGGAGAUAGCUGGUUCUCCUCGAAAUAGCUUUAGGGCUAGCCUCGCAUUAGUUUACCGGAGGUAGAGCACUGAAUGGUCUAGGGGGCCUCACCGCCUACCGAAACCUAUCAAACUGCGAAUGCCGGAUAAAUGAUGUGCGGGAGUCAGGCCGCGAGAGAUAAGUUCCGCGGUCAAAAGGGGAACACCCCAGAUCGUCUGCUAAGGUCCCCAAGUACGCGUUAAGUGGGAAAGGAUGUUGGAUUGCACAGACAACCAGGAUGUUGGCUUAGAAGCAGCCACACAUUCAAAGAGUGCGUAAUAGCUCACUGGUCGAGUGAUCCAGCGCCGAAAAUGUAACGGGGCUAAAACGCGACACCGAAGCAGCGGGAUGCGUAAGCAUCGGUAGAGGAGCAUUGUGUGAGGGUUGAAGCCAGAGCGGGAGCACUGGUGGACUUCACAGAAGAGAGAAUGCCGGUAUGAGUAGCGAGACCCAUGCGAGAAACAUGGGCGUCGAAGGCCCAAGGUUUCCUGGGGAAGGUUCAUCCACCCAGGGUAAGUCGGGACCUAAGCCGAGGACUGAGGUCGUAGGCGAUGGACAGCAGGUAGAGAUUCCUGCACCACUUAUACUUGUUUGACGAAGCAGUGACACAGAAGGAUAGGACGAGCGCGGUGAUGGUCAACCGCGUAGGCGGCACGAGGCCGGGAAGCAGUGAAGUACACUUCCCGCAAAGGCUGAGUGUUGACAGGACCGAAAAGAAGUAGGGAAGCGUCCGAGUUCACGCUGGCGAGAAAAGCUGCUAAGGAGAGUGUGAGUGCCCGUACCGGAAACCGACGCAGGUGGGCGAGGAGAGAAUCCUGAGACGGACGGGAGAACUCUUGUUAAGGAACUCGGCAAAAUGACCCCGUAACUUCGGGAGAAGGGGUGCCUCGAAAGAGGCCGCAGAGAAUAGUCACAAGCGACUGUUUAGCAAAAACACAGGUAUCUGCGAAAGCGAGAGCUGACGUAUAGGUGCUGACGCCUGCCCGGUGCUGGAAGGUUAAGGGGAAGUGUUAGGGGAAACCCGAAGCAGAGAACCGAAGCCCCAGUAAACGGCGGCCGUAACUAUAACGGUCCUAAGGUAGCGAAAUUCCUUGUCGGGUAAGUUCCGACCCGCACGAAUGGCGUAACGACUUGUGAGCUGUCUCAACAGGAGGCCCGGUGAAAUUGAAGUAUGUGUGAAGAUGCACAUUACCCGCGACUGGACGGAAAGACCCCGUAGAGCUUUACUGUAACCUGACAUUGGAUCUUGAUAACGGAUGCACAGGAUAGGUGGGACGCUGGGAG
This 2138-nucleotide ribosomal RNA is filed under the name human gut metagenome. Its description in RNAcentral is "bacterial LSU rRNA". It matches the Rfam family "Bacterial large subunit ribosomal RNA", at positions 3 to 2161 of the family's 2925-position model. The record is from RNAcentral.